This 497-nucleotide ribosomal RNA is filed under the name uncultured bacterium. RNAcentral's name for it is "partial 16S ribosomal RNA". It matches the Rfam family "Bacterial small subunit ribosomal RNA", at positions 28 to 507 of the family's 1533-position model. The record is from RNAcentral.
GAUGAACGCUGGCGGCGUGCCUAAUACAUGCAAGUCGAGCGAACAGACGAGGAGCUUGCUCCUUCGACGUUAGCGGCGGACGGGUGAGUAACACGUAGGUAACCUACCUAUAAGACUGGGAUAACUUCGGGAAACCGGAGCUAAUACCGGAUAAUAUUUCGAACCGCAUGGUUCGAUAGUGGAAGAUGGCUUUGCUAUCACUUAUAGAUGGACCUGCGCCGUAUUAGCUAGUUGGUAAGGUAACGGCUUACCAAGGUAACGAUACGUAGCCGACCUGAGAGGGUGAUCGGCCACACUGGAACUGAGACACAGUCCAGACUCCUACGGGAGGCAGCAGUAGGGAAUCUUCCGCAAUGGGCGAAAGCCUGACGGAGCAACGCCGCGUGAGUGAUGAAGGUCUUCGGAUCGUAAAACUCUGUUAUUAGGGAAGAACAAACGUGUAAGUAACUGUGCACGUCUUGACGGUACCUAAUCAGAAAGCCACGGCUAACUACGUG